GUGAAUCAUCGAAUCUUUGAACGCAAAUUGCACUUUCUGGUAUUCCGGAAAGUAUGCCUGUUUGAGGGUCAGUUAAAUAAAAAUCUGUGUUGUUGCGGCCUUUCGUGGUGACGCUGCGGAAUUGGGUCUUCUUUCCUUCGGUUAAGUGACUUAAAAUUUUUCAUGAUUUUCGAACGUAUUUAAAUGUCUUACGUACGUUUGAGAUAUCUAAGACUGUAUUAGUUGCGGUCUUCCUCAUGAUUGGCACCUAUAAUUUUUCAUUAACUGACCUCAAAUCAGGUAAGAAUACCCGCUGAGCUUA
This 301-nucleotide unclassified non-coding RNA is filed under the name Glomus sp. RNAcentral describes it as "partial contains 5.8S ribosomal RNA, internal transcribed spacer 2, and large subunit ribosomal RNA". The stretch from base 1 to 71 matches the Rfam family "5.8S ribosomal RNA", at positions 84 to 154 of the family's 154-position model. The record is from RNAcentral. Lineage: Eukaryota; Fungi; Glomeromycota; Glomeromycetes; Glomerales; Glomeraceae.